This 216-nucleotide long non-coding RNA is filed under the name Elaeis guineensis (African oil palm). RNAcentral describes it as "long non-coding RNA (EGUI_LNC031308)". The record is from RNAcentral. Lineage: Eukaryota; Viridiplantae; Streptophyta; Magnoliopsida; Arecales; Arecaceae.
AUGGGUCGAUGGAUAGCCAACAAAGGUCGGGGUGAAGGCUAACAAGAUCGAUGGUCAUCCAUUCGGUUCAGGGUCCAUAAUUGGGUCAAUUUAGAUCCAUGGAGAAGGAGAUCUAGGACCAUCUUCUUUGGGUCUAUCAAGCCAUGAGAUACGGAAAAAUUGGAGGAAGAGAAAUAGAGAGAACAUAGAGAGGUCCUUAGAUGCUUGAACUAGGGU